GAUGAAGAACGCAGCGAAAUGCGAUAAGUAAUGUGAAUUGCAGAAUUCAGUGAAUCAUCGAAUCUUUGAACGCACAUUGCGCCCGCCAGUAUUCUGGCGGGCAUGCCUGUUCGAGCGUCAUUACAACCCUCAGGCCCCCGGGCCUGGCGUUGGGGAUCGGCGGAGCCCCCCGUGGGCACACGCCGUCCCCCAAAUAUAGUGGCGGUCCCGCCGCAGCUUCCAUCGCGUAGUAGCUAACACCUCGCGACUGGAGAGCGGCGCGGCCACGCCGUAAAACACCCAACUCUUCUGAAGUUGACCUCGAAUCAGGUAGGAAUACCCGCUGAACUUAAGCAUAUCAAUAAGCGGAGGA
RNAcentral lists this unclassified non-coding RNA (352 nucleotides) under soil metagenome. RNAcentral's name for it is "partial contains 5.8S ribosomal RNA, internal transcribed spacer 2, and large subunit ribosomal RNA". The stretch from base 1 to 120 matches the Rfam family "5.8S ribosomal RNA", at positions 35 to 154 of the family's 154-position model. The record is from RNAcentral.